RNAcentral lists this transfer RNA (72 nucleotides) under Marmota monax (woodchuck). RNAcentral describes it as "tRNA.Ala". The record is from RNAcentral. Lineage: Eukaryota; Metazoa; Chordata; Mammalia; Rodentia; Sciuridae.
GGGGUUGUGGCUAAGGGGUACAGUGCUCGCCUAGCACAUGUGAGGCCCUGAGUUCCAUCCUCAGCAUCACAU